ACAUCGGUCAAACAGAUUGCGAUGAGGUAACUGCGCAAAUAAAAUCGGAAACCUCCCCCCAUAUCAGUGCACGGUUCCCUUCCUCGUCUCGCGCUGGAUCCAUCGCACGCCCGGAGGCCGGUGGCGGAGGCAUCACCACAAGCUGAGCAAGGCAAAUCCGGCUGGUAGAUUGUUCAGAUCCGGCUGGUACGUGUUGGUAAAAUCCUGCGUGUUCAUCUAAUUGUCCAGAUCCGGCUGGUACGUGGUGGUAACAAUCCUGCGUGUUCAUCUACAGAUGUGUCUGAGACAAGAAUUAACGUUGUUGAAUCCAAUGAGGACUAUAUGGCAGAAGAACCAAUCGAACAUCAUAAUUAUGCUGAAAAAGAUGUCGAGUCAUCUGAUGUCUAGGAAAUAACUACUAAUGAUAAAGAAGGUUUCACAGAUUGUGAUGAUACUGAUGCAGAUUAAAAUGAAGAUGUGCACGGCAACUAGAAAAAGGUUCUGCUACACACAAGUUUUCCAGAACCAAGAAACUUUUGAUCAGAAUUUCAGUACAUGGCAAGAGAAAAUAAAUGCUGCUGCACACAAGGAACUAAAGUAUUCUUGAACAGCCUGAAAAAUCAUAACUGGGACGUAGCUCUUGGUACAAUUGUAAGUUGUGAUCCUAAAUUUAAACUUGAUGGUGCUGAAAUUAGAAAUGGAUUCUGCGUAGUGCAUGUCGAUAUGGCACUUGUCAAAACUGAAAAUUGGAUUCAAAAGAAAAUGGAUGACUAUAUGGUGUGUGGAAAGUGUACUGCAAUGAUGAUGUUCAUGUUCAGAUUCAUGAUGAUGAUGGAUGCUUUCAGUUUUAGUUAAGUUGUAGGGAUGGCGCCUAUUGGAUGUUGUUCCUCGUUGAUUUUUAGUUAAGUUGUAGAGAAGUUGAUUGAUGCUUUCAAUGUAAGUUUUGUUGUCAAGAAAAUAGUCAGAUUAUGCAUCACAUUUGGAUGAUGUUCCUCCUGUAAUAUCCACUAUUGUAAUCCAACAGUUCUAUCUAAUAUAUGAUUUCUUCCUCUACGAGUA
Triticum aestivum (bread wheat) is the source of this 1038-nucleotide long non-coding RNA. RefSeq lists it as uncharacterized. NCBI's taxonomy places the organism in Eukaryota, Viridiplantae, Streptophyta, Magnoliopsida, Poales, Poaceae. The record is from RefSeq and is a predicted model, not a curated record. The transcript is spliced from 8 exons.